AAAAGAUUAGUUAAACAAUAUAACAUUAGAGUGUCAAACUAAAAUUACUGAGUUACAGUAUCUUUUA
RNAcentral lists this transfer RNA (67 nucleotides) under Davidius fruhstorferi. RNAcentral describes it as "tRNA-Asp". Lineage: Eukaryota; Metazoa; Arthropoda; Insecta; Odonata; Gomphidae. The record is from RNAcentral.